This 253-nucleotide ribosomal RNA is filed under the name uncultured bacterium. RNAcentral's name for it is "partial 16S ribosomal RNA". It matches the Rfam family "Bacterial small subunit ribosomal RNA", at positions 524 to 776 of the family's 1533-position model. The record is from RNAcentral.
UACGGAGGGUGCAAACGUUGCUCGGAAUCAUUGGGCGUAAAGCGCACGUAGGCGGACUGCUAAGUCGGAUGUGAAAGCCCUCGGCUUAACCGAGGAAGUGCAUUCGAAACUGACAGUCUUGAGUAUGGAAGAGGGUCGCGGAAUUCCCGGUGUAGAGGUGAAAUUCGUAGAUAUCUGGAGGAACACCGGUGGCGAAGGCGGCAUCCUGGACCGGUAUUGACGCUGAGGCGCGAAAGCCAGGGGAGCAAACGGG